RNAcentral lists this ribosomal RNA (502 nucleotides) under uncultured bacterium. Its description in RNAcentral is "partial 16S ribosomal RNA". It matches the Rfam family "Bacterial small subunit ribosomal RNA", at positions 30 to 523 of the family's 1533-position model. The record is from RNAcentral.
AUUGAACGCUGGCGGCAUGCCUUACACAUGCAAGUCGAACGGCAGCACGGGUGCUUGCACCUGGUGGCGAGUGACGAACGGGUGAGUAAUAUAUCGGAACAUACCCUAGAGUGGGGGAUAACGUAGCGAAAGUUACGCUAAUACCGCAUACGAACUAAGGUUGAAAGUGGGGGAUCGCAAGACCUCAUGCUCAUGGAGUGGCCGAUAUCUGAUUAGCUAGUUGGUGAGGUAAAGGCUCACCAAGGCGACGAUCAGUAGCUGGUUUGAGAGAACGACCAGCCACACUGGAACUGAGACACGGUCCAGACUCCUACGGGAGGCAGCAGUGGGGAAUUUUGGACAAUGGGGGCAACCCUGAUCCAGCAAUGCCGCGUGAGUGAAGAAGGCCCUCGGGUUGUAAAGCUCUUUCGUCAGGGAAGAAACGGUCUACUCUAAUACAGUGGGCUAAUGACGGUACCUGAAGAAUAAGCACCGGCUAACUACGUGCCAGCCGCCGCAGUAA